This 267-nucleotide ribosomal RNA is filed under the name uncultured bacterium. Its description in RNAcentral is "partial 16S ribosomal RNA". The record is from RNAcentral.
CUGCUGCCUCCCGUAGGAGUCUGGGCCGUGUCUCAGUCCCAGUNUGGCCGUCCACCCUCUCAGGCCGGCUGCUGAUCGUCGCUUUGGUGGGCCGUUACCCCGCCAACUGGCUAAUCAGACGCGGGCCCAUCCUGUACCACCGGAGUUUUCAAAGGAUUACCAUGCGGUAUUCCCCUAUUAUGCGGUAUUAGCACCUAUUUCUAAGUGUUAUCCCCCGGUACAGGGCAGGUUGCCCACGCGUUACUCACCCGUCCGCCACUAAGACAG